AUUGGAGGGCAAGUCUGGUGCCAGCAGCCGCGGUAAUUCCAGCUCCAAUAGCGUAUAUUAAAGUUGUUGCGGUUAAAAAGCUCGUAGUUCGAGCUCAGUUCCGGACUGGCCGGGGAGGUCACCGCCCGGUGCUUCCCCGUCAGGCUCCGAACAGCUUCCGUGAGUGGAAGCCAAGCCGGUUCUGCCGGGGUGCUCUUUACCGAGUGUCCCGCGCGGCCGGCCAGUUCACCUUGAAUAAAUGAGAGUGCUCAAAGCAGGCUACUCUCGAAUACAAUGCCCGAAUGUUACCUGCAUGGAAUGAUGGAAGAUGAUCUCGGUUCCAUUUUCUUGGUGGUGGGAGCCAGAGGUAAUGAUAAACAGGGACUGUCGGGGGCAUCCGUACUACGACGCGAGAGGUGAAAUUCAGUGACCGUCGUAGGACGAACAACAGCGAAAGCAUUUGCCAAGAAUGUCUUCGUUGAUCAAGAACGAAAGUUAGAGGAUCGAAGGCGAUCAGAUACCGCCCUAGUUCUAACCCUAAACGAUGCUGACUAGCAAUUCGCCGUCGUUAUUCCCAUGACGUGGCGAGACGCCCCCGGGAAACCUCAAGUCUUUGAGUUCCGGGGGUAGUAUGGUUGCAAAACUGAAACUUAAAGGAAUUGACGGAAGGGCACCACCAGGAGUGGAGCCUGCG
This 673-nucleotide ribosomal RNA is filed under the name Palaemon sinensis. Its description in RNAcentral is "SSU rRNA". It matches the Rfam family "Eukaryotic small subunit ribosomal RNA", at positions 547 to 1187 of the family's 1831-position model. Lineage: Eukaryota; Metazoa; Arthropoda; Malacostraca; Decapoda; Palaemonidae. The record is from RNAcentral.